Molecule: ribosomal RNA, 253 nt
Filed under: uncultured bacterium
Lineage: Bacteria
Description: partial 16S ribosomal RNA
Rfam family: Bacterial small subunit ribosomal RNA
Source: RNAcentral
UACGUAGGGUGCAAGCGUUAAUCGGAAUUACUGGGCGUAAAGCGUGCGCAGGCGGUGAUGUAAGACAGAUGUGAAAUCCCCGGGCUCAACCUGGGAACUGCGUUUGUGACUGCAUCGCUGGAGUGCGGCAGAGGGGGAUGGAAUUCCGCGUGUAGCAGUGAAAUGCGUAGAUAUGCGGAGGAACACCGAUGGCGAAGGCAAUCCCCUGGGCCUGCACUGACGCUCAUGCACGAAAGCGUGGGGAGCAAACAGG